Molecule: long non-coding RNA, 502 nt
Organism: Cyprinus carpio carpio
Lineage: Eukaryota; Metazoa; Chordata; Actinopteri; Cypriniformes; Cyprinidae
Source: Ensembl
AAUUAAAUGAAAUAGUGUAUUUAAACGUGCGCUGGCUACGAGGGGCGUUAACGUGAUGUUACGUGAGUGACGUAAACGUGAUGGCAAAAAAAAAAAAACGUAAACGUAACGUGAUGGCGCAAAUAACCACGAAGACGGAAGAAUAAUUCUGUUUAUUACAAAAGACUGAAGAUAUAACUGCCGCCAUCGUUUAAUUUAUUUAUUUCUACGUUGAGGACACUUUAUAAACCUACAGAGAUACCGGACCAACGAACGACCUUCACAACGGGACGGAGCUAACGUAAUUAACGUUAACGGUUACUUGGAAAUUCAAACAGUAACGGUCAUCUGACAACUGCGCUGAACCAAAGGACGGGAACAGCAACAGGAGUUUAACUUCUGAUUCGUAAUCUACACACUCUACUGGGCAGUUCAUGAAGACAGAUAGAUGUUGUGCCGACCAGGACAGUUCCUCCUACCACACCAGACUUUGCUGUAUAUGGAUGCCUGACCACUAGCACUG